AGUCGAACGGUGGUAGCAAUACCAUAGUGGCGCACGGGUGCGUAACACGUAACUAACCUACCUAUAACUGGGGGAUAGCCCGCCGAAAGGCGGAUUAAUACCGCAUAAGCUGUGAGGAUGGCAUCAUCCUUUUAGUAAAGAUUUAUUGGUUAUAGAUGGGGUUGCGGGUCAUUAGCUAGUUGGUAAGGUAACGGCUUACCAAGGCGACGAUGACUAGGGGAGCUGAGAGGCUGGUCCCCCACACGGGCACUGAGAUACGGGCCCGACUCCUACGGGAGGCAGCAGUAGGGAAUAUUGGGCAAUGGGCGAGAGCCUGACCCAGCCAUGCCGCGUGCAGGAAGAAGGCUUUCUGAGUCGUAAACUGCUUUUGACAGGGAAGAAUAAGCGCUACGUGUAGCGUGAUGACGGUACCUGCAGAAUAAGCACCGGCUAACUCCGUGCCAGCAGCCGCGGUAAUACGGAGGAUGCGAGCGUUGUCCGGAUUUAUUGGGUUUAAAGGGUGCGUAGGCGGCUUUUUAAGUCUGGGGUGAAAGCCCGCUGCUCAACAGCGGAACUGCCCUGGAUACUGGAGAGCUUGAGUACAGACGAGGUUGGCGGAAUGGACUGAGUAGCGGUGAAAUGCAUAGAUACAGUCCGGAACCCCGAUUGCGAAGGCAGCUGACUAGGCUGUUACUGACGCUGAGGCACGAAAGCGUGGGGAGCGAACAGGAUUAGAUACCCUGGUAGUCCACGCCGUAAACGAUGGAUACUCGCUGCGAGCUAAAGAUUGUUCGUGGCUUAGGGAAACCGAUAAGUAUCCCACCUGGGGAGUACGCUCGCAAGAGUGAAACUCAAAGGAAUUGAC
Molecule: ribosomal RNA, 844 nt
Filed under: uncultured bacterium
Lineage: Bacteria
Description: bacterial SSU rRNA
Rfam family: Bacterial small subunit ribosomal RNA
Source: RNAcentral